Molecule: unclassified non-coding RNA, 249 nt
Filed under: Chytridiomycota sp.
Lineage: Eukaryota; Fungi; Chytridiomycota
Description: partial contains small subunit ribosomal RNA, internal transcribed spacer 1, and 5.8S ribosomal RNA
Rfam family: Eukaryotic small subunit ribosomal RNA (bases 1-47)
Source: RNAcentral
AAAGUCGUAACAAGGUAACCGUAGGUGAACCUGCGGUUGGAUCAUUAAAAAAUUUACUUUAAAGGUAUUAGCGUUGUAAAAGACCUAAUAUUCUUUAACAAAUUUGUGAACUCAUUAAAGUCUUUUGGGUCGACGUUUUUUGUUAAAUGUGGGCCCAAAAACCAUUUUAAACUAAUUUCAAUUAACUUUGUCUAUAAAAUUUAAUUUACAAAUUAAAAACAACUUUUAACAACGGAUCUCUUGGCUCUC